This is a long non-coding RNA of Felis catus (domestic cat), 11556 nucleotides long. RefSeq lists it as uncharacterized. The transcript is spliced from 2 exons. The record is from RefSeq and is a predicted model, not a curated record. Lineage: Eukaryota; Metazoa; Chordata; Mammalia; Carnivora; Felidae.
AGUUCCUCCCCUGGGGGGAGGGGGGAGGGAGCUCUCUGGGGCUUCAUGUAAGGGCACUCAUCCCUAAUGACCUCCCAAACACCCCUCCUCCCAAUACUACCACCUUCGGGGUUAAGAUUUCAACAUGUAAAAUUGAGGGGGGGGACACAAAUGUUUAGUCUAUAGCGAUGUUGUUAACAAAAUGGAAUAUGUUGAAUGUGCAAGCGACCUCUCUAGUCCUUGUGCACCAGCCCUUCACAGAGCCUUCCAUUUAAGGCUCCAUGUUUGAUCACUCAUUGAUUCAUUGAACCAAGUGCCUACUGUGGCAUCAGCCUGGCUCAGGGCUGUGGAGAAAUCUGCCCUGGGUAUGAACCACGGUACCUCACAUUUUUGGGGAGGUGGCAAGGGGCAGAACAACAAAGGAGCAAGAUGAUACCAGUGCUCUGGAAGAGCCUGGGGGCAAGAGGAGGGACCUGGUUCAGAACCGCUGUUCCCAGCAGACCAGCCAGCAUGAGCCCAGAGUUCACCAUCAUCACAUCACACCAGUUGUCACCCACUGACUCAUUUCCUGGUGCUGAAUUAUGAGGCUCAGGAGAUUUUCCAAUACCCUCACUCAAUUCUGUAGAUGAGAAAGCCACAAUAUCCAGACUCUGAUUCAGAAACUUGGUGCCACACUUACCCUUUAGCUAUCUGCUUGCCCUCUCAAGUUUCUGGUCAGAUUUGUGGUUGGGGCCGGGGUACCUCAACAUUCCCAUCUUAUGUGCCCACUGGAAUGGUGUCUAGGUGAGAGAGUACCAGGGAUACCCUUCCCUGGAGGGCUGAACAUUCAGUUCCAAUGGCCUGGGCUACACACACCCAUCCUUCUUAAUUCAAACACCCUGCAUGGUGAAGUGUGUCAAACACUCAGAAUCAACACAAAAUGAAAUGUUUGACAAUGUGGCCUUGCCACAGAUGACAUCACAGAAACUUCCAUGAGUAGCCUUCAUUUCCUCUGGGUAGCAAGAAUACGCCCAAAGCUUCAUUCUGCAUCACAAGCAAGGUGGUCAUCCAGGCUCCUAUGGGCACCACCUCCUGGAACUAUAAUCAUAAACCCCAGUAAAACCCGGGGUUCUGAUAGGGGGCCCGAUCCCCUGAAGUCCGCCUCUUGAUGUGGUGGACAUUGACCAAGAGUGGCUGAGCUUUGUUAUUCUCUGAUUGCUUCUAUGGGUGUGGAUGCCUUUAAACUAUCCUCUUUCCUAUUUGGGGUCUCUGUUUAUCCUUCGAAAUGGCCUGGCUAACGACUCCUAUUUAACCUCCUGCUUUCCUUUCAGAAAAAUGAAUCCCAUAAAAAUCACUAGACUGGUGUCUGAGCAAACUCUUUGGUGUCAUAAAAUUUUGAUGUAGAGGUUUAGCAAACGUGACAGGACGUUUUUGCGUGCCCUUCCAAAGUGUGCAAACUAUUUUUGGUGUGUGGACAUUUACAGAAUAUUGCCAGAAAUGAGCUCCCCCCACACACUCCUUUGAAAGGGGAAGAAGUGAUGAGUCAGGCCACGAUGAAACAGGUUCUGAGUCAGAAGUCAUGGGUUCACCAAGUGAAGUAAUUCAAGAUAAUGUUCAGGCACAAAGUAUUGGAACAGAGACAACAAGGGCCAGGGGGAGUAUGGACACCCAGAAAAGGAAUGUGGGUUGUCAGUCACAUGGUAGUUGCUUCUACUCUGAGGAGGUGAAAGGGCGGACAGGAACCCUGCCUGUAGUAUACUUUGGUCAUCAUUUCAGUAGAGGAAACACCUGAGGUCAAGUACCAUGGUCCCAGGGGAGUCAUGUGACCAUACACGGGCGCUGGGUGGGGCUAUGGGAACGGGGUUCUUUUUAUUCCCCACAUCACCUGCAGGAUUUUGUGCCCUGCAUGAUGCAAUCGGGGAACAGCUACCGAGAAAUUUCUUCCCGAAUGGUGUCACGUACGCACAGACAUGGUGGUUCAAACAGUUGGCGUAAAACAAGCCCCAGAGCAUCCAAAAGGAGGAAUGAGAAUUGUCUCAAGAAAGUGUAGCUGACCCUCCCCCACCCAGAGAUGAGAGCCAGGAUUUGGGGGAAAGAAGAAAAUGACACUUAUUGUGGGUUCCAUGGGGGACAAGCCAGGAACAGGGCCAGACAUGUGCAGGGUCACGUCUGUGAGGAAAUAUGAACACUAGUCUAUGGUGGGCUCGCUAUGCACCAGGCUUAGCCAUUGACUGGCGUUUAAUCCUGCAUCAACCCAUUUUGCAGAUGGGGUGAAGCCAAGUCUUGGUGCUUGCCUAAGGAGGUAGGACCAGCAUUCAGACCCAGAGCCUCUGCUUCCCACACUGGGCUGGAUGCUUCAUAUUUACAAACAACUGCUCUCCUUGGGAGGUACUGUCUCCAUUCUCCAGGAAUGCAAACCGAGAAGGGUCCGGGAGUUUGUCCGAGGUCCCACAAGGACAGCGAGGGGGCUCAGAUUCACAUGCUGACUGGCUGACUCUGUCGUUCAUGCUCUUUCUGGGACACCUGUGCCUCCCUGGGGCAGCUGGCAUGCCCUGCCUGCUGUUCUCCGGUGAGGGACGGCUGGGUCUCCUGCUCAAAGGCAAGGCACCUAUUGGAGUGGAGGCCACCUUCACCACAGCUGUCUCCCUACCAUCUUCCGGAUCGCAGCAGGGCUGCGAGUCUGCAGAACUGGGUUGUCCUUACGCACAUGCAGCGUGUGGGUUUCCUGUUACUGCCUCCAUUUUCUCCAUUAUGCUUCAAAUUACAUGAUCUAUGUCGUGCUGUCUUGCCAUUGAUUCACUGGUUAAAUUAGCUGCUAUUUCUCUCCCCUGCAUUACAGGCUCCGAGUAAUUUGUUUAUGACUCAAAUGUUCUGUGGGCUCUGAAGGAAAGGCUAAUACGCAUUCAUUACAGCCUGACAUGAUCACUGUAAAUCACGAGGACUGCGGGUCCCAGCCAGUCUCCUGGUCUCCUUGGCACGGUAUUCCGUCUUCCACCUGACCAGGGCAGUGCUGCCGAGGCACGAAGUGUACCCAAAAUUCAUGGAAGGGGCGUGCAGAAGGCGGGCUAUUGAUGUGUAAAAUCUGUAGAACAGUCUCAAACCGGAGCCAAGAUUGUACGUCUUGUCCUCUGCAUGACCUUCGAAGAGCACCCAACCCAGGCCUCCUCCCUCACUCCCAGGCUCCCUGGGGAUCACCAUCUGUCUGAUGUCACAGAGAGCGUGUACAAGUAAAGGUGAGUGAGGAUGACUUCAUGGUCUUGCUGCUCAGGGUCUCACCCCCACCUAGGGCCUCAGGCCCCCAGGACAGACCUGGCCCAGGUUCUCAGACGUGAUGCUCAGGGCAUCAUCCCCGCCCCCCCACCCACGACACGCAUGACCCAGACUCUCUCUCAUGCUUUGUUGCUGUUCCCAUUUUGACUUCUCUCGAAGAGUCUUGUCCUCUGACCUGUCCACGGGGUCCCCACUGUCGGUACAGCCACGUCCACCCCAGAGCUCUGUUCCCCACUGGAUGGUGUGGUGCUCAAAAGAGUUUCCAGACCCGUGGUCCCUCUCUCAUCACACCUCGCCCUGGUGAAGUGUGGGGUCUUGUUCCCCACCCAGCGCCUUCGCAGACAGAAAUGGGAUGUGCGUGCCAAUGUGCACAUAUGGGACACUUCCUGGUCGCUUAUCCCACCAGUCUCUGCAAUGGGCUGAAUGUUUGUGUCCCUCUCAAAUUCAAAUGGUGAAGUCCUAACCCCCAAGGUGAUGGUGUGAGGAGGGGGGCCUUUGGGAGAUGAUUAGGUCCUGAGGGUGGGUCCCUCACGAAGGGAAUUAGUGCCCCCACAAAAAACCCCACAGAGCUCCCUCACCCUUCUGCCAUGUGAGGGCACAGAGCAAAGAUGCCAUUUAAUGAACCAGAAAGUGGGGUCUCUCCAGACACCGAAUCGGCCUGAGCCUCAUUCAUGGACUUCUGGCCUCCAGACUGUCAGCAGCCCUGUCAGACUCCAGAACAGCCCUGUCAGCAGCCCAGAUGGACCCACCAUGCAGUGGCUCUCCAACAGGAGACACUCUGGAUACAGAUGAGCGAUGGGUGGUGUCCACAGAGAAUAAACAAGACUUUCAGACUUUCUAAGCAAAAAGAAGAGUUUUGUUGGAGUCCAAGUGAGGACAGUUGCCCAGGAUACACAAUCUUCACAAAGAAGAAAGUGCUUCCCUCUAGCAAAGGAACAUUUAGUGCAGGGCUAUAUACAUUUUUUAUAUAAAACUCAUUAGACAAAGAACAUUUCUAAGAGUUGCAGACCUUAUCUUAAGUUUCUAGUAUAGGCAGGGAUGUGUGACUUUAAUCUUAUGGGAACCAGGGAAAUUUCUUACUUUUUCUUAUCUUUGUGUUCAGAAUGCUCCUUUUUGGUUAUUUUCUUUAAUGAUGCAGAUGUACAAUGUGUGCUUGGGGCAGGAAUAGAGCACAAGUUUUGAAGUUUUGCCGAGUCAUUUUGAGCUUGGUAGAUGUUGAACCGUAGCUUCCCUGGGAGCCCAGGAGCAGGGCCCACAAACAUUAAAGCUAAACACGUCCUUUAUGAGUGGAGGUGUUUUGAAGAGAUCCCAGGGCAUGUCAGGUGUGGCCUUUCCUGGAGGUGGGCCCAGAGGAGCACCAGGUGCCUCAGGAUGCCAACACAGAGUGGUGCUCCCCAAGGAUCUGUGAGUCUGUGUUGGGUUCUCCUAAGGGAACACAAAACCAGACCCAUUUGUCCUAAAAUAUGAGGCUCCCAUGCUGAAACUGAGUGCUAAGGGACACAGAGCAUGCUGACUUGACCCUGGGCAGGUGAUGGAUGUGAGGGGCAGGUGUGAGAGGUCAUCAACAGACAGGGCUCACCUGGAGGACCUCUGCCUACAGAUGGUGACCCCAUCACUGACGUGGGCCUGCACCCAAGCCCCCCGCCCCCGGCAGUUUCUCAUGGUUGCUUCGGGGCACUGUCCUUUCUGAUUGGGAAGGAGACCAGAGUAUCUCCAGUCAACCCACUGGGAAAAGCCAGCUCCUGAAGCCAGAAGCUCAGGAAAUUCCCACCGUGAAUGACAGGUGCACCACGUUAGAAUUUCUAUUUGCAGAUUUAAUUAGAAACUAGUUUGUGACGCAAAUUAUGUGGUGCCUAGGAAGGAACAGUGUAGAGGAACAAGGAUCGACCUGCUUCAACGCUGAAAUCCAUGAUAUGUGGGUCUUCAUGGCCGUCUACGCAAAGCCUUAUCUGUUUCGGUCUUACAGAAUCAUGCUUUACUCCUAAUUCCACUGACAAUAUUCUACUUAAAGAAAUGUCUAAACAAACCACAUGGCAAUAUGAUUGACUAUGACUUCCUACCGACAGACCAAGUACAGAGCAAUUGCCCAAUGCCUUCAUCGGUCAUCGGAAACCCUAAUAGAAAAUCUCAAGUCAAUUUUCAAGCCUUUAUGGGCGCGGUGGGUACAGAGGCAAUGCUAGCCAAAGAUAUCGGAACUCCUGGGACCAGGGUUGAAAAUAAAGCUCUAUAAAAAAUGCCAUCACUCUAGAAGCCAAAGCGGAAACAUUGCCAUCUUGCUCACCAGCCGGGCCAUUCCUUCCAGAGCUCUCUCUGGGUUGUGUGUCUCUGCAUCUCUGUAGGUUGUGAUUCACGCCUGGGGCUGAGGCUCGGGGCUGAGUCACCUCCAGGAUGUGGGGGAGGGUGAGGCUGGGUGAUAAGGGCAGAAUGCCCCUGGCUGAAGCCAAUUUUUCCUAAUUGCUAUCUUCCCCAACCCCAUUUAAAGAUGCAAUGAAGGUGAUUACAGAAACCUCUUUAAGGUAAACCUAAAUUAAUGGGUUUAUUUAAACUCAUAAUGAACUUUAAACUCUCCAAACCGGUGAGCUCCGGGGCUGGAAUCACUAAUUGCAGCGUUGGUGGGAGCUGGGGACCAGUUGCUGGGCCUGGCAGCUGAGUGCUUAGCUGGGGGGGACAGUCCAUUCAUUAUCCGGGUUUCUGGGAAACAGUGACCAAUUACUCCAUCUGCUCAGCAUUUCUCUUCCCCAAACAGACAAAUUAAGCCCUCGACCAGAGUCCCAAACAUCAAGUCCUCUGGGAGCUAGGCUGCCCCUACGCAGAGAGGCUCCAAAUGUAAAAGAAAUCAGAAAGAGGUAUCUCCGUGGAAGGGUUGUGGGGAGGCCCGAGGCUUGUCGGCUGGGAACAAGGCCAGAAUGCUCCCUUUUGCUGAAAGAGAUUUUCUCGUGCCCGUGGCCAAGCUGCGGACACUCUGGAGGACCCCCAGUGGGGCUGGUGUCCUGGGCCCUGUGCGGGUACAGGUGGGGAUCUGCCUCAUUUAUGCUCAGUGACUUCCACUCAGAGCAAGGAUGCUUCAUUCCCUUGAGGAUGUCCUGCCCCACUUGUACACGCAAGUGUUCUUAAUAUUCUCCAAUGCUCUCAAGCCUACGGACACGGUCUUUCACCUUCCUGGGAUGGACCUCUCUCUCGCCUGCUUCGUUUCUCAGAGGAUUUGGGUCAAGGACAAUUUGCUUUCCUGCCUCUUUCCUUCAGACUGCUCUCCCCAAACUGGCCCCACCCAUUCUAGACCCUGAGGUCACCACCGUGUCUCUUGCCCAAAGGAGCGCGACCAUCCAGUUUCCAGAGGGGCCUUUGCUCUGUGUCUGCCUGCACGGCUGGGCAUGUGACAGGCGUGCAAUAAACUGGCAGAAUGAACCUCGCUGGCUUACUCAGGCAAUACAUCAUCAAGAGGCUUAAGAAUGCUAGAUUUUUCUGGGCCCAGGGCAUAUUCUGAAGUUUCAUGUGUCAAGAAAUAAGGACAGAGCUGGGAAUAACUUAAUCAUCUGUCCAAAGAACUCACAGCCUGACACAGCUCGGAGUCCCCAGUGCGUUCUUGGUUCCCAUCACCUCGCAGGUGCCUGCGUGUGCUGACUGGCGGGCCAUCGAGAUUAAUAAAUACAAAGGCUUUUGCUGAUGUGCAGGUACAGAAAAGUCACCUGCAGCUGCUCUGUCGUGACUGAUUAAUUAGGAAAAGACUCCGUGGUGCUAAUUGGCGGUUGAGAAUUUUUGGAGUUUUAACAUUCAUGGUAUGCAAACGGAUCAAUGUCUAACAAUAUCUAACAAGAUCAUUUGAAAGUGAGAUUCUCCUGAGAAGUGCAAUCAUGGUUUGGGGAAGCUGUGAGGACCCUCCGUGUUGUACAUACUCGUGUCAAUCAACACAAAGUUUGUUAGCAAUUGUACUAAUGUUUUUCAGCAAAUGGAGACACCGGCCAAUGAAUAUGCAUUAAAUGUAAUUCUAUCUACCUGUUGCCCUCAAUCCCAGAAGCAAGGACCAUUACAUUGCAGAAGUUUGAUGAACGUUGUCUCCAGCUCAUAAGACUUGGAAAUGAGUGAGUUUGCCCAGUUUGGGGGAAAGAGGCCCACGUGAGGCUCAGUGCUUUCUCAGUUUCCACGUGGAAAGCUCCAAAUUGAAAUCCAUACCUCUAGGGAGUGAGAUAAAAAAAAAAGAAAGAAAGAAAGAAAGAAAAAGAACUGUUGGGCCCCAAAGGGACCAUUUCCCAUCAUAAUGAGAAUUUUAAAUGGCGGGUUUAAAUUCUUUGAAAAGCCUUUCAGAAAUGGGUGUGCAAGUGAUGGCUCCUGAAUUACCAGCAGAGAUGCAAUUAAAUUAGAGACAGAACAUGUCACUCCAGGUUCCCAGCCUGAAGACCCUUUCCCUUGUCCUGGGAGGAGGGAGCACCCAUGGCACACACAGCCCGGGAACCCAAGGGAAGGGCCCUUCCAGUCACCCCAGCUGCUGCAUUUGAAUCCAGAAGGGAAGGACACACCAUGAGAGAGCCAGAAAGCCGCAUGGCAUUUCUUCCCGAUGCACCCACCUCUUCCUCACCUGGACACAAGCUAGCUAAACCCGGGGUAGGAGGCUGUCCAAAUGUUAGCAGAAACCUCCCAACUGCACCCACAUGCAUGGGUAGUUCUAACAACCGUUCCCUGAGCAUGUACAGGUGCAGGGCUCCCUACGUGCCCGACGUAGGUCACCGGCUUACAUCGUCAGACUCUCUGGGGCAGCGCAUGCGGUCAGCUCCCCAUGUUCCUGGGAGAUGGGGAAGUGGCCAGAUUUGAGAAUGUGGUACUUGAAGGAGCUGGAGGCAGCCUGCCUCCUGGGUUAGCUUCUGGCCUCCAUCAAUCCCCAGCUGUGCAGGUGGGUGACCUUCUGAGCUUCCUUUACUUCCCCUGUAAAAUGGAGAUAAUAAGAUCACCUGUCCCGUGGGAUUGUUGUGAGGAUUGAAUGACCUCAUCCUUGCCUUGCACGGCCUGGAAAAAGCACCUGCUGUUAUUCCAAAGGUUACAUUAUUUGGCCAUUCCAAGUAAGCAAUGGGGGAAGUUGAGGUUCCAAGCGAUGUGUUCACCUCCUGGAUGAUCUCCGUAUUAGGCUGAGAAGUGGGAGGAGGGGUUGUUUUGAUUUAAACACACGUGGUGAGAGAAAUGUAGCUUCUCUGAGUAGCCUCAGGGACAUCGGUUGUUUUUCACCCUGCGAGGCCCAAAGCUGGGGCCAGAAACAUGGUAGGUAGGGCUGGCUCAAUAAAUGUUCAGGAAUCCAGCCCAGGCCAUCCUCCUUAGUGGGAUGUACAAGGCUCCCAGUAAGCCAGCCUCGCCUGGACUCCCAUAGUCACGGUCACCCAGCGCCCCGUUUAUUCUGCCCAGACAGGUGGCAGGUCCUAGUGCACAACAGAACAAUGGCCCCCAAGGUCAGCUCCUGAUCCCUGGGAUCUAGAAAUGUUACUGGAUUUGAGAAAAUGGUCUUUGUUGAUGUAAAUAACUUAAGAACCUUGAGACAGAGACGUUAUCCUGAGUCAUCUAAGUGGGUCCAAAUGCCUCCACAUGGGCCCUUACAGGACGCGGGCAGAGGGGCAUCUGACACAUGCAUGGAGGACAAGGCCUUAAGACCACGGACACAGAGAGCAGAGCAACACAGCCAUAAGGUAAGGGCCGCUGGCAGCCACCAGGACACAGAAGACAUAGGACACGUUCUCUCCUAGAGCCUCCGGAGGGCACGUGGCCCUGCAGACAAACUGAGUUUGGACUUCUGGCCUCUGGAAAUGUAAGAGAAUAAUUGUGUCUUCUUUAAAGCUGCUCAGUUGCUUACGGCAGCCACGGGAGCUCACACACACGGGUCUUUACACCCCCUGCCUGUGAACACGUUGCUUUCUUCUACCCGUAGGACACUGUCCACCUUCGUGUGUCUAAGUGAUGCCUACAAGGCCCUUGAGGCUCCCCUUCCUCCAGGAAGCCUGCUGGGACCAUGCCUCCUGGUCCUCACCCCUCCCACAGCACCCGCACUGACACAGCCUCUUUGCUUGUUUUUCUCCCCAACUAGACUAGGGGCUCCUCGAGGACGGGGGUCGUCCUCUCUGCCAGUGUCUGACCUAGGGCUGUGGAUGAACAAGUGCAUUCUCUCAUUCCUACUAAAAGUCCCCCACAAGGCUGAGCAUGCUGCCAUUGAAGAAAGGAACAUGGAGACGUCAGGAGUCAGCACUUCUGCUGCUCUGGAGUGUAGCAGGGAGGUUAGGUUUCCUGUAGCGUCUGCAGAUGGGUCCUCAAAGCCACCGCGCACGCGGAAGACAGGCUGGGACAUCCCACAAGGGCAACGAUGUUGGCUGUGGGAUUCCUGGAGAAGCACGGACCUGUCUCCUAAGACGAGAGCCUAGUGCUUUGCACAGAGACUUAGAUGCAGAGCAGUGAGACUUCACAGGAACUCUGUCUUGUGCUGAGGAAUAAAAGGAACAUCCCCAUCUGCGUGGAGGCUGCGGGAAUGGGCGGAGGAUGACCCUCACCAUUGAGGUCACACAUUGAAUUAGGACUUGGAUGAGCCACUCUGUGCCUUGGGUGAGGUCACUCAAAUGCCCUGCCUCUGAAUGAGGGCCUUGAACUCGGUGGUGCUUUCGCAUCCUUUCAACUCUAAAAUAAGAUGACAUUUAACAGGAGCCCUGUGCACUGACAGAACUGGAGUGGCCGUCAGUGGAACAGCCCCGUAUUGUUGACAGAUCUGGCCAGAUGCCAGAGAUGCAUGGCCUCGCCUCUGAGUGUCCUUGAAGGCCAGCCUCUGGACAAGGGACAGCAGUGUGUCCAAGCCCGUCGGGUGUGGCUUCCUGUCACGGCACAGAAAAAGACCCUUGUCUGCACUCGCCACUGCUCUGCCUCCAGGGCACUCGCUCGCGCUCUGACCACGCAUCUGAAUUCCACGCGGGGGCUGGGGUGGAAGGAGGAUGUCUAGGACACAUCAGAACGUGGUACCUGGGAUCUUGUUAGGUAGGAACCGGGGUUUGGUCUCCUCGGCCAGGCUUCAUCCUUCCUCGGCUCUGGGCUCUGCGGAUCCUUGGGUGCUGUUCAGAUGCCAUUGGCAGCAGGUGCAGAAGCACCUCUGUUCUCUCUGUGGAGCUGUCCAGUCAGUCAAGACCCUCUGUUUCCGUUGGCCGAGGUAAGGUGUGGUGCCCCAAGCGCAUCUCCUCCCUCUUCUCCUCUCUCAUAGACAUUCUCUUCAACUAAAACACCGCAAACCAAACCAAAGAAGUCGUGAUUCAUCCCAUCUAGACGCACCGUGAAGCAACCUCCAUUUGUCCUUCCUCCUGCUAGUGUGGGGCUGCUCUAUCUCCUCCAUUCUAAGACUUUACCUUGAUUCUACCAUUCCAUGUCGUUUUGUGAACCAGCUCUUUGCAGGGGCCAGGUUCUAGCCAGCCAGUCAGCUUCUGAGGGUUCCAUCCAAAGAACCCCAAUGGGCAGGAGACAGCGAAGCUACAAUUUUGCACUAAUUUCUUCUUAUUUCAAAUUGUGUCCUCUUUCUGCCACGCCACAGCUGCCUCCUUUAGAAGCUGCUCCAAGAGGAAGCAAGAUCUUUAUAAGAACAGCAUGGUCAGAAGCCAACACCAUCGGACAACUUACAAGGGGUCUCCCAAGAUCCCUCCAACUUUUGCUCAGACUUGGGCCCACGGGAGGGGAGACGUCUUGGAUUGGCUGUGCACCUGCCGGUCAGCCCACCAGAUGCGAACGUGGCCAGGGCGGGGGGCGCGGAGGAAUUGCACCCUUGGCUAUAACUCAACAGGAACGUUCCAUCCAGCAAUUUUGUAGGUUUUUUGUUCUUAGGAAACCUGAGAAGUCAUCUCACUUUGUGUGUUUUGGUAAAGGAACCAAGUUUAAUGUUAAGCCGUGUGUGUAUGUGCUCAUCGUUCCGGGGUGACGUUUCUCUGCGGCAGGUGGAUUUCCCUGGGGGUGGUUGCAGUAGAGACCGCCCCCAGGUAUCAGCAGUCCCGUCACUGUAGACACAAACAGGACAUCUACUUCAGAUUUCUCCCUGGGUUAUGCUCAUCCCCACUCAAAGCAAUAUCUGACUGACACCUUUCUCCAAACUCCACACCACAGACACACACCCACCUGCACACACGCACACACCUGAUUUUUCUGAUCACUCAUUUACUUUUUGGUGGGUUUCAUUGUCUAAAUGCUCCCAAUUAUUCCCUACAUGUAAUAAAGCUCCAAUCCACUCCUUUAGCCCCCAACUUCGAAGGAAAGAAAGCUAAACAAAACUUUUGAUUUGGCCGUGUUCCCCUCCUAAUUUCAUUAUGCAUAUUAAAUUUUUACUGUCGACAA